RNAcentral lists this microRNA precursor (82 nucleotides) under Cajanus cajan (pigeon pea). RNAcentral describes it as "miRNA gene-KK1_045217". Lineage: Eukaryota; Viridiplantae; Streptophyta; Magnoliopsida; Fabales; Fabaceae. The record is from RNAcentral.
UUUAAAAUCGGUUACCUUAUGACCGAUUUUAAAAGUCUCUGAUGUUACUUUUAAAAUCGGCUCUUUAAUAGCCGAUUUUAAA